UCGGGCGCACCCGGCGCAGGGAGGCGCUGGUCCCUCCGGGCGGCGGGCACUGCAGCGGUAACGCACGGUUCCUGCCGGUUGUGGCUCGGGGGACUGAGGGCCGGGAGUGGGGGCUUCUGUGAAGCCAGAAGAGAAGUCUGCAGCAGAGUGGUGAUGAGGGGCGCUGACACCUCACCCCCAACGCCGACGUCUCCAAACGCGAUACCCUCUGCGGGGUGAGAAUGCGGGCCCGCCCGGCUCCUCCCGUGAGGCCAGGGCCUCCUGUUCUCCUAGACACCCCAAGGAGCCAACUCCUCCGCAGAAGUUCCCCGCUUCUGCUCUUAUUUCCAAGCUUCGCGCUUUCUACAAACUCCCUGUUGCCUUGACUUUGAUUUCCAGCCGUGGUGAGGGUCAGAGUGAACCCCGGCGCGCUCCCCGACGGCAUCCCCGCACACCAGGAUAGGAGAAAUUGGAGGGCCUGGGGCCUCGGGCUCCGCAGUCGUCGGAGGAAGAACCCACCGCGGGGUCCGCAAGGGAAAGUGAAGAGGCCCGGGAUUUUUCCAAAGCGCUGGCCAGGACCCCGAAGGAAGGGGAGGAGUCACCUGAAGCCGGGGAAGGCCCCUUGGGUGCUCUGCCUUGGAUCCUUAUGUUCACUGACUUUCGCGAAGCCCCCCUGGAGGGGGGCAAAUCCGCGCUGUUUCCCCCAACUUAACUUCACGCGGCCCAUUCUCCGAAUCGCGUGCGCCAAGGCCGGCGUCGGGGGCGCACUGUGAUGGCGCUUUGCUCUUCCCAGGCGAAGACAAAUAUCUCGACCCGAUGUCCCCAUGCAUGCGGGUGCACAGGUUCUGAGAAAAUCACGCAGAAGGCGGCUGCGAUCCACGGCCCGGGCUGGGCUACACCUGCUUGGAGGUCGCUGGUGUGUGCGUGCGCGCGUGCGCAGCCUAACUCCUUCCAGCCCCGGGUGGUGAAAUUAGUUUCCAAUACUAGUACCUUUCAAGUUUCCAUUUAUUUUGACUGUACCCGUCUGAAAGCAGAUUUCAUUUACGCUAGCAAGACUGGAAGCCACAAAUAAAGAAAAAGAAACGGAUUCAUUGAAUCUCAGUAUCUCAGUAGCGUUUAAUAGAUUCCCUUGGCUAAAUUCAGAGCCCUGUUUGAAUUCACUCACGCAGGAGUUGUUUUGUUUUUUUUGUUGGUAGAGGUGCCGGUUUCCCAUCCCCACGGCUUAUUUACAAUUAUGGGUGUUGUUAUUUUUAAAGGAUUCACAAGGUGACUAACUCUCUGUUAUCUGUUGAAUGGAAGGAGUGUUACAUAUGCAAGACCGAAUGGGGCAGGCCGAGCCCCCGCCCUAUGCUAUUCUACAAUCCAGAUGGGAUUCGUGAUUAGAAAAUAAAAUUGGCCAAAGCUGUCUCGGAAUCCUUUUCCCACUUCUAAUUUCAUCAGCACUAUUAAUCAGAGCUCAAAAGAGCAAGGAAAUAACAUCAGUUACUUUUAGAUAGAAAUAUGUUUAUAAAUUUUAGAUAAACUCAUUUUAAGAUUUCUAACUUUUGGGGAGACUAGCACUCACCACAGCAUUUUUAAAACUAGGGUGAGACUUUUCAAAAUAUAUUUCACUAUAUGCAUUCUUCCCUUUUCAGUGUGUGAGUUAAAAUAUUACAAACAUAAAAUUAUCAAAUAUCUUUCCCUUGAUUAACCAACCUGAUUAACCCCUUAAUUAAUUAAGCCUAACAACUGUCCCCAUCACAACUUAUGACUCAUGUGGACUCUAUUUUUACAUGUUUAAUUUCUACGCCAGGGUAUUUUCAGAGGGAAAAUCCAAAACAAUUAAAUACCUUCAGUGGAAUUAAGCGUAAGUAAAACUCAGCAAAAUCUGUCUGGUAUACAAAGCUUUGCAG
This 1871-nucleotide long non-coding RNA is filed under the name Homo sapiens (human). RNAcentral's name for it is "HSALNT0265177". Lineage: Eukaryota; Metazoa; Chordata; Mammalia; Primates; Hominidae. The record is from RNAcentral.